RNAcentral lists this ribosomal RNA (338 nucleotides) under uncultured Anaerolineaceae bacterium. RNAcentral's name for it is "bacterial SSU rRNA". It matches the Rfam family "Bacterial small subunit ribosomal RNA", at positions 1031 to 1382 of the family's 1533-position model. The record is from RNAcentral. Lineage: Bacteria; Bacillati; Chloroflexota; Anaerolineae; Anaerolineales; Anaerolineaceae.
UGUACAGGUGCUGCAUGGCUGUCGUCAGCUCGUGUCGUGAGAUGUUCGGUUAAGUCCGCUAACGAGCGCAACCCUCGCUGUGUGUUACAAGUGUCACACGGAACUGCCGGUCAUAAACCGGAGGAAGGUGGGAUGACGUCAAGUCAGCAUGGCCUUUAUAUCCUGGGCUACACACACGCUACAAUGGGAAGGGACAAUAGGUUGCGAAGCCGCGAGGCGGAGCCAAUCCAGCAAAACUUCCCUCAGUUCAGAUUGCAGGCUGCAACCCGCCUGCACGAAGUUGGAGUUGCUAGUAAACGCAGGUCAGCCAUACUGCGUUGAAUACGUUCCCGGGGCUU